RNAcentral lists this ribosomal RNA (405 nucleotides) under uncultured bacterium. RNAcentral's name for it is "partial 16S ribosomal RNA". It matches the Rfam family "Bacterial small subunit ribosomal RNA", at positions 28 to 526 of the family's 1533-position model. The record is from RNAcentral.
GAUGAACGCUGGCGGCGUGCCUAAUACAUGCAAGUCGAGCGAAGCGGGGACGGGUGGGUAACACGUGGAUGAGAUUCUAUAAGACUGGGAGAAUAUCAGGAAAACAGGGCUAAACCGGAUCCUUAUAGAUGGAUCCGCGGUGCAUUAGCUAGUUGGUAAGGUAACGGCUUACCAAGGCAACGAUGCAUAGCCGACCUGAGAGGGUGAUCGGCCACACUGGAACUGAGACACGGUCCAGACUCCUACGGGAGGCAGCAGUAGGGAAUCUUCCGCAAUGGGCGAAAGCCUGACGGAGCAACGCCGCGUGAGUGAUGAAGGUCUUCGGGUCGUAAAGCUCUGUUAUUAGGGAAGCGGUACCUGCACAGAAAGCACCGGCUAACUACGUGCCAGCAGCCGCGGUAAUAC